This 665-nucleotide long non-coding RNA is filed under the name Pongo abelii (Sumatran orangutan). Its description in RNAcentral is "lincRNA". The record is from RNAcentral. Lineage: Eukaryota; Metazoa; Chordata; Mammalia; Primates; Hominidae.
UAGUAAUUUCCUUCCAAAUAAGUUCACAUGUAAUAGGUAGAAAUUCUGUAUAAGAAAAAAGCAUUAACAAUACUAUUAUAACUGCUUCAUUUGCUGGGAACCAUUAAAAGUAGUAUAAAUUAGCUUUUUCCAGAAGGAUCCUUUUGUAGCAGUGUUUAUGAAUGUAACCCCCAGCAAAAUGUGACUAUAUAUUAGGGGAGCCAGUUUGGAGCAGAGGCCUGAAGGUCCCUGCUAUGCAGCAGUGGCAGCUCGCAGCACCAGUGCCGUGGAGCAUCCGCACCUUUGAUGGCAAUGCAGAGUGAUAGCAGGUUCCAUAGGUGUGACAAAACAGCAUUAAAGCUCAGUAUUUUGCAUAUUUUUAGCAUUUAAAAAUAUUUUUGCUUUAGUGUGAGGAAAGUAAGGAUGGGCAAAGAGGCGAUCAAAAUAGCUAUUGCUAUGACAUUUUAGAAAACAAAGUUGGGGCCGUAUUUCUUUAAAAAGAUAAGCCUCUAAAAAUGCUUGGCAAAAAAAGUAUAGUGUUAAAAUAGGCAGUGAUAUUAACGAGAAAAUGAAAGUAUGUAUCAGGAAUAAAGUGAUAUUGCAUAGGAGUACUGUAUUUUUAUGAAUUUUAUGCCAGUUGUUUACAUGUACUAUAUAUGUUAAAUUUAAAAAAUCAUGAAAAAUGA